GAAAUGCGAUAACUAGUGUGAAUUGCAGAAUUCCGUGAAUCAUCGAGUCUUUGAACGCACAUUGCGCCCCCUGGUAUUCCGGGGGGCAUGCCUGUCCGAGCGUCAUUGCUGCCCAUCAAGCACGGCUUGUGUGUUGGGUCGUCGCCCCCUCUCCGGGGGGGACGGGCCCCAAAGGCAGCGGCGGCACCGCGUCCGAUCCUCGAGCGUAUGGGGCUUUGUCACCCGCUCUGUAGGCCCGGCCGGCGCUUGCCGAACGCAAAUCAAUCUUUUUCCAGGUUGACCUCGGAUCAGGUAGGGAUACCCGCUGAACUUAAGC
Molecule: unclassified non-coding RNA, 316 nt
Filed under: plant metagenome
Description: partial contains 5.8S ribosomal RNA, internal transcribed spacer 2, and large subunit ribosomal RNA
Rfam family: 5.8S ribosomal RNA (bases 1-105)
Source: RNAcentral